RNA transcript from Strigops habroptila (Kakapo), 1214 nucleotides. It is a transcript of the gene named electron transfer flavoprotein regulatory factor 1, with no coding region annotated. The record is from RefSeq and is a predicted model, not a curated record. The transcript has 4 exons. NCBI's taxonomy places the organism in Eukaryota, Metazoa, Chordata, Aves, Psittaciformes, Psittacidae.
GUUCCGGUUUUGCCGUAAAGCGUGGCCGGCGGAGCUCGCGGCGCGGCGUGAAGGCGGUGAGGCGCUGACCUUCUCCUUGUGCCCCGCGCCGGGCCGGGCGGUGCGUCCCUCUGUGUCCGUGUGUCCGGGGCACCGCCGCAAAACCCGGGCUGCGCUCCGGGUUAAAAACCCCGGUCAGACGCGAUUGAAGUGUUCACUGACAUGUGAGAAUGGCCAGUUCUUUAAGAAGUGAAGUGAGAAAGCUAUACAAAAACCUGCUGUACCUCGGAAGGGAGUAUCCCAAAGGAGCAGACUACUUCAGAAAGCGUUUGAAAGCAGCUUUUCUAAAAAAUAAAGAUGAGAAGGAUCCGGAGAAAAUCAAGCAGCUGAUUGCACGAGGAGAGUUUGUUAUAAAAGAGCUGGAAGCUUUGUACUUCCUCAGAAAAUACAGAGCUCUGAAACAGCGCUACUACAAUGACGACAAUCAGUAACUGGUGCUAAUGACUUUCAUGUAACAAUACAAAGCCUUAAAAAUGAACAAUAAAAGCUGUAACCUAAAACAAAUGAAACGUUAAUCCUUCUGACCCAUCUGAAAUACGAAUUAGGCCUUUGCUUCCCCUUAAGUAGUGCCUUGAAAGAUUUACAACUGCAUCUGUCUCCUGUGGGGUCACGCUGGCAGAGGCACGCACCCACUGUGCUGGGCCGAAGACUGCAGGGUCAGGAAGGGGGUGAAUUUGGACAGGAGUGGUUUAAGCACUUCGACCCUGAAGACAGUUCCUGCUACUACUGAUUUCUGGCACUGUGUAACUGCUGUAGCAGCAAUACAGAAGUUGACCCUUUCCCCUGGAACUGAAGUUUCACGGUGGAUGUUUGCUCCACAGCUAAUGCCAUAGGCUAGCUCAACUAGUUCUGUGCCAGAACUGCUACUUUGUGUGUACUAGGGUCGGAUGAUGUUUCUACCCCCACCAAGAACUAAAUGACACUGGAGAGAGAACAGAAAUAAUCUUUGAAAUAUAGGCAUUGCUAGUUCAAGAACCAACAGUCAAAGAAUACUGGCACUUUAAGAGGAAUGAAGUUUCCACUGUCAUUUAAAACAAGCAUUCAGGUAAAGCUAACAGGAUCAUGAAGCAGAAAGUAAAGUAAUGCUAAACCAAAUGCUAAUAAUUUAGUGUAAUGUACAAAAAUUACUUAAGUACUUCUUAAGAAUAAGGAUAAAUUGUAUUUACAUAAUUAUA